Molecule: ribosomal RNA, 253 nt
Filed under: Eubacterium coprostanoligenes
Lineage: Bacteria; Bacillati; Bacillota; Clostridia; Eubacteriales; Eubacteriaceae
Description: partial 16S ribosomal RNA
Rfam family: Bacterial small subunit ribosomal RNA
Source: RNAcentral
UACGUAGGUGGCAAGCGUUGUCCGGAAUUACUGGGUGUAAAGGGAGCGCAGGCGGGAGAGCAAGUCAGCUGUGAAAUCUAAGGGCUUAACCCUUAAAUUGCAGUUGAAACUGUUUUUCUUGAGUGAAGUAGAGGUAGGCGGAAUUCCGAGUGUAGCGGUGAAAUGCGUAGAUAUUCGGAGGAACACCAGUGGCGAAGGCGGCCUACUGGGCUUUAACUGACGCUGAGGCUCGAAAGUGUGGGGAGCAAACAGG